This 1450-nucleotide ribosomal RNA is filed under the name uncultured Bordetella sp. Its description in RNAcentral is "partial 16S-23S ribosomal RNA intergenic spacer". It matches the Rfam family "Bacterial small subunit ribosomal RNA". The record is from RNAcentral. Lineage: Bacteria; Pseudomonadati; Pseudomonadota; Betaproteobacteria; Burkholderiales; Alcaligenaceae.
AGUUCGAUCCUGGCUCAGAUUGAACGCUGGCGGGAUGCUUUACACAUGCAAGUCGAACGGCAGCACGGACUUCGGUCUGGUGGCGAGUGGCGAACGGGUGAGUAAUGUAUCGGAACGUGCCUAGUAGCGGGGAUAACUACGCGAAAGCGUAGCGAAUACCGCAUACGCCCUUCGGGGGAAAGCGGGGGACCUUCGGGCCUCGCACUAUUAGAGCGGCCGAUAUCGGAUUAGCUAGUUGGUGGGGUAACGGCUCACCAAGGCGACGAUCCAGCUGGUUUGAGAGGACGACCAGCCACAUCGGGACUGAGACACGGCCCAGAUCUACGGGAGGCAGUGGGGAAUUUUGGACAAUGGGGGAAAUCCCUGAUCCAGCCAUCCUGCGUGCGAUGAAGGCCUUCGGGUUGUAAAGCACUUGGCAGGAAGAACGGCACGGGAUAAUACCCCCGUGCAACUGACGGUACCUGCAACAGCACCGGCUAACUACGCCGUAGCAGCCGCGUAAUACGUAGGGUGCUAAUCGGAAUUACUGGGCGUAAAAGCGUGUGCAGGCGGUUCGGAAAGAAAGAUGUGAAAUCCCAGAGCUUAACUUUGGAACUGGGAUGAACUUACUUGAGCUAGAGGCCAGGAGGGAGGUGGACCCGCGUGUAGCAGUGAAUGUGCAGAUAUGCGGAGGAACACCGAUGGCGAAGCAGCCUGGGAUAACACUGACGCUCAUGCACGAAAGCGUGGGGAGCAAACAGGAUUAGAUACCCUGGUAGUCUCACGCCUCGAAACGAUGUCAACUAGCUGCUGGGGCCUUCGGCCUUGGUAGCAGCUAACGCGGUUAACGCCCGGGGAGCAUGGCUCUAAGAUUAAACUCAAAGGAAUUGACGGGACCCGCACAAGCGGUGGAUGAUGUGGAUUAAUUCGAUGCAACGCGAAAAACCUUACCUACCCUUGACAUGUCUGGAAUCCUGAAGAGAUUUGGGAGUGCUCGCAAGAGAACCGAACAACACAGGUGCUGCAUGGCUGUCGUCAGCUCGUGUCGAGAUGUUGGGUUAAGUCCUGCAACGAGCGCAACCCUUGUCAUUAGUUGCUACGAAAGGGCACUCUAAUGAGAUCAAGCGGUGACAAACCGAGGAAGGUGGGGAUGACGUCAAGUCCUCAUGGCCCUUAUGGGUAGGGCUUCACACGUCAUACAAUGGUCGGGACAGAGGGUCGCCAACUCAUGAGGGGGAGCCAAUCCCAGAAACCCGAUCGUAGUCCGGAUCGCAGUCUGCAACUCGACUGCGUGAAGUCGGAAUCGCUAGUAAUCGCGGAUCAGCACGUCAAGGUGAAUACGUUCCCGGGUCUUGCACACCGCCCGUCACACCAUGGGAGUGGGUUUCACCAGAAGUAGUUAGCCUAACCGUAAGGAGGGCGAUUACCACGGUAGGAUUCAUGACUGGGGUGAAGUCGUAACAAGGUAACU